This 251-nucleotide ribosomal RNA is filed under the name uncultured bacterium. Its description in RNAcentral is "partial 16S ribosomal RNA". It matches the Rfam family "Bacterial small subunit ribosomal RNA", at positions 526 to 776 of the family's 1533-position model. The record is from RNAcentral.
CGUAGGGUGCGAGCGUUGUCCGGAAUUACUGGGCGUAAAGAGCUCGUAGGUGGUUUGUCGCGUUGUCCGUGAAAACUCACAACUCAAUUGUGGGCGUGCGGGCGAUACGGGCAGACUGGAGUACUGCAGGGGAGACUGGAAUUCCUGGUGUAGCGGUGGAAUGCGCAGAUAUCAGGAGGAACACCGGUGGCGAAGGCGGGUCUCUGGGCAGUAACUGACGCUGAGGAGCGAAAGCGUGGGGAGCGAACAGG